AUCCCAUUCGUCUAAUGGUUAGGACGCCAGGUUUUCAACCUGUAAAAAAGAGUUCAAUUCUCUUAUGGGAUAUCA
This 75-nucleotide transfer RNA is filed under the name Bacteroidota bacterium. RNAcentral's name for it is "Bacteroidetes bacterium tRNA-Glu". It matches the Rfam family "tRNA". From Rfam's summary of the family: Transfer RNA (tRNA) molecules are approximately 80 nucleotides in length. Lineage: Bacteria; Pseudomonadati; Bacteroidota. The record is from RNAcentral.